UAGGGUCACCGAGGUGAUGUGAUAG
RNAcentral lists this non-coding RNA (25 nucleotides) under Rattus norvegicus (Norway rat). The record is from RNAcentral. Lineage: Eukaryota; Metazoa; Chordata; Mammalia; Rodentia; Muridae.